GUCCGCGUGCAGAUCCCGCUGUGGGCCUGCCAAAAGCGGACUGUGUGGUCGUACCCGGCCGUGGCCAAAAUGACCGGGUCGCUGCCCACAGUCCCCUGAUUCACGUUCAUGCUUAACUUCUGGCUGCCACUGUCAAAAAAUGUUCCAGCCUUUAACCACCUUGCAGAUUGCCCGAAUGCUGUCGAAAUGUCUGCAAUUGACUUCCUUAACUAUUAGCUGAUAAAUAGAAUUGAGUCCUGUUAUGAUUUAAGAGACCAGAUUUCAUUGAUGAAUGCAGCUUUAUUUUAGGUAGAUGAGUUAACAGUUGAAAACCUCAGACAAAUACAAAACUGUUUUUAAGAACAGCGUGUACAGAAUAAGAACUAUAUAAACACAAACUCUCAUUGCUUCUGUAUAACGCUUAUAGCUUCUGUGUAACACUUGGAACAGAUGAACAAUUGACUGUGAGUUUUGCAUUGAGGUCCUCAGUCCUCCUUUAGCAGGACUGACAUGUGCUGCUUCACCUCACCCGGGUCAGCCAGUGAGCAGGCCAGGAUCACCGCCCGGACUCCACUCUUUGUCCUAGUGGAGGCGAUGAUCUAAAAUGGAAUGUUUUCCAACACCAUUUGUAACAUGCACUGAAUCCUUGAGGUGGAAAGGGAAUGGCGACUGUACCUUCACAUAUAUUUUGCAUCUCUCCAACAGAAAAUUCCACUUCAUUGCAGUUCGUUCAUUAUCAGUCAAAUGAGUAAACUGCUCUGUCUGCAGCAAAAGGAAAAGAUACAGUGUGUGUUUUACCUCUAAA
Molecule: long non-coding RNA, 784 nt
Organism: Phyllopteryx taeniolatus (common seadragon)
Lineage: Eukaryota; Metazoa; Chordata; Actinopteri; Syngnathiformes; Syngnathidae
Exons: 2
Source: RefSeq, a predicted model, not a curated record